AGCGUAAAGGUGCGGGUUCCGUCUUCAAGGCGCACACCCACCACCGCAAGGGUCCUGCCCGGUUCCGCAGCCUCGACUUCGGUGAGCGAAAUGGCUACCUCAAGGGUGUCGUCACCGAAGUCAUCCACGACCCGGGCCGUGGCGCACCCUUAGCCCGCGUCGUCUUCCGUCACCCUUUCCGUUACAAGAAGCAGAAGGAACUGUUCGUCGCUGCCGAGGGCAUGUACACGGGGCAGUUCGUGUACUGUGGUAAGAAGGCUACUCUCAUGGUCGGUAAUGUGUUGCCUCUUAGAUCUAUC
Molecule: long non-coding RNA, 299 nt
Filed under: Theobroma cacao (cacao)
Lineage: Eukaryota; Viridiplantae; Streptophyta; Magnoliopsida; Malvales; Malvaceae
Description: long non-coding RNA (TCAC_LNC000020)
Source: RNAcentral